Molecule: long non-coding RNA, 3417 nt
Organism: Betta splendens (Siamese fighting fish)
Lineage: Eukaryota; Metazoa; Chordata; Actinopteri; Anabantiformes; Osphronemidae
Exons: 2
Source: RefSeq, a predicted model, not a curated record
UUGAUCUGUGCGUGGUCCACACAUGGGGGACUGAGUAUAAAAGACGGCUUCUGAAAGAUGGAGUGCGUUUGCAGAGUGAAGUAUUUUCAAGAUACGAGGGACCCGGGCCUAGAGGGGCCUAACGUUGAGGAAAUACUUCGUGAAAGGCUCUGUCGCCAGAUCAGGUUGGUUCCCUUUUUACGGAGACGUCCGAUAAAAAGGCAUUUUGGGAAGGUUCCGGCCGGAACACACAAAAAAUCUAAGGCAGGAAACCGCCGGACUCUGAAAGACGGGUUCGGGGCAAUUUGAGUCUUCACCACCAGACAGCAACCGUACAAAACUAAAGAACUGAGCGUGAUGAGGGUAAAUCCGGAUCUGGACUCCUUUCCCACCAUCAGCAGAAGAACCGAAGGAGAAGAAGCGCCGACCAACAACCAGAACAGGGUGGAAGCUCUGACACCACAGCAGCUGGAGGACACACACCACAGCAUGGACGCCUCAGCGACUCUCACAACGUCUGCAGCCAUCACGUUCUGGGCUCAUCAGAUGAACCAGCUAAUACAAGCGUGUGUGUCUGACACAGACACCUGCUUAUGACAAUCAGCAAAGGAAAACAAGGACAGAGCAACAGCAGAGAAGACGUGCUCUGACACAGACACUGGUUGAAACAACAGGAGAGGCUUCAGACGUGAUCGGCCCAAUAGAGCUGCAACCGAGGAUCCAGGAAAGGUCUGUCAUCGAGGAACAACUGUCCCAUUGAAAGGCUUCACCCGCUGGCGCUCACAUCAGACUGAUGGUUGGGGAAGGAGGAAGGUGACGGUUCCUUUUCACGUGACGUACAAGACGGUACCGCAAACACACACACACAUUCAUACACGCAAUGAAGAAACACGCUUACAGCUGAUACACGCUCAAAUUCAUGUUCAUGCUUAUCUGCUCGCAAUGAAGAAUCACUUUUUGCUCAAAAAGAAUCCCACAGAGUGAUUUUACAAUGAUGACAAACAGCUAAACGACAACUGCUGCAUGACUUUGCAGUCUGAUGGGUUUAAACUAUUUUAACUUGCAACAAAUUCAGUAAUAAAAUCCUUCAUGUUUCUAAAAAUACUUGUGCACAAUAUAGGUUUGUCUGGCCAGACUAUAGAAAAACAAAACAGACUAUAGGAAGACUGACUGAAACUGACUAUUAAUGACUAUUAAAGGGAAUACGACUAUUAGAGAGAAGUAAUAAUAAUUACUGUACGUACCAGACUAUUAAAGAAAACUCAUUUUUUCACUGUCUUAUGCAACAUCUGACAGCGAGACACCUUGAGAUUUAUUGUUGCUUUCAAAUUUAUGCCCAGUUAAUUUUUAGGAAGAGAUCCCAUGUGUAGUUUAGGUAUUUGAUUUAUUUCCACUCCAGACGGAGUGCAGGUUACAUCUACAGACAUUCUAAAUAAUCCCUCUUUUGUUGGUGUUAACUUCAGCUCAGCUGUGCUCUUAUCAUUAGCUGCUGAGGGGGGGCUGUAACUGAGGCCCUCACACAGGCUGCAUCACAGCCUGUUUAUGAUUUCACACACACUCAAACUGACCUCAACUUCCCUCUAUUGGGAUGAACACAGGUCUGCGCUUGCGAUUUCUUUUACUAACGAACAAAAAAGAUUUUUAUUUUUAUUCUACAGUUCCACACGUCCCUCUGUGACAACAUGAUGGAGACAGAUGACAGGACGUGGGUCCUUUCGUGAACAGAUGUCAACGGGGUGGAGACUGGUGAACGACUUCUGACCCCAUGUGAUGUAUUCACCUACUUUGCAUACUUUAGAAAACUUUUUUUUUUAUUCUGCCUGUCAUGUGCAGCAAACAGUGAACUGGGUACCUCCACAUUCUAAUGACACACAUUACACACUUUUGUUUUUAUUUUUAUUUUUCAGAGGACGCUCUGACCCAACACUCAGCCUUACAGGAAGCCCUGCUUCCCUGUGGCUCACAGUCAGAUAUGAUGUAGGUUUGAUCAGAGGAUGUGAACCAGUGGUCAUCACACCUAAAUCUGACCACAGACCAUGUGAACAACAACACCCUCUUAAAGGAAGCCAUAGAUGGUGUUACUGCAGACACCACUAAGCUACUGAAACAUUGGAUGCUAUAGGCCACAAAGAGAGCCUGUCUAAAUUACACUUUGUUCAGACAAAGGUUAUUUUCUGGGUCAUUGUAAUUACAGCUAAUGGCAAAUCCAUCUCACCCAACAGACUUAAAGCAAUUUGAGACCUGCCUAAACCGUGCACGUAUAAACAGCUGAUGUCUUUUCUAGGUUUUUGUUCUUAUUGUAGGACUUUCGUUCCUAACUUUACUGUCUUUGAGGCCCCACUCAGGGUUCUGAUGCAGACGUCUUCAUCGUCCACUUCUUGUCUCACGUGGACGUCUGAGGCUGAACAACGUUCACCGACCUCAUGCUUGCUCUUCAGUUGGCUCCUACCUUGGGUCUUCCUGAUCUGACCCUACGCGAGCUUUCACUCAAACAGUGGAUGAGAGAUCAGGUUGUACGACUUCUGUUCUUUUGUCCUCAUACUGUGUCUUUGAUUCUUUUGGAAUAGAUCCCACGUUCUACAGCCUGAUGGCUUAGAUGCAACACCACUUUGCUCAACAUGCUGAACAUUACUAUCAAGAGUCCGUCUUGAAGUCUGGCUCUUGCUAAGACACUACUCUGCUCAGGCUGCAGAGUUGAUCGCGUUGACUGAAGCUAGUAAACUAGCAGAAGGAGAGUCUGUUACCAUCUACAGACUCCACAGAUGCUUGUCACACGUUGGUUCUCCUUGGAAGCAUGGGAAGCUUUGAAGUCUGAUUGCAAACCUAUCUUACAUCAUGAUAAGGUUCUGCUUUGCUGGACGCUGUCCUGCUGCCUACAGCUAAUGCUGUUUGUAACUGUCCAACAUCAGUGACGACUUUGUUUCUGCCGACAUGCAGCUGCAGACGCUGCUGCGAAGGUCGCUGCCCAACAACCCCUCCCUUCUCUGAUCCUCGUUUUCUCUCCUGAUCCUUGUUCCCUCUCCAACUCUCUCUAUCCUUUCCUUCCUCAUCUCCCUGUGCUUUAAACAUUUUCUACCUCACAGGAACGCAGACUCUGGCUGACGAAUGGUUCCACCUGUAGCCAUGGAGUCUGGUUUGGGCCUGAUGGCAGCCGUGCCGCCCAAACACCUUUUUCCCCACAAUUCAGAUUUCCCAACAGGUGAAAACAGGCGACAGGACCAUUACACCAUCCAACCAGGGGACUGGGCGAUCGUUAAGGACUUCAGGAGGAAGCAUUGGGACUCCAAACGAUGGCGAGGCCCCUUCCAGGUCCUUCUGACGACCCACACGGCUGAAAGAUCGCAGUGAGAGUGACUUGGAUCCACUCCAUCCACUGCAGGAAGGUCCCAGAUCCAACAGACGACCAUCCAUCUACAUCCCACGGAGAAAACCACCACU